UGCGUAGGCGGCGCGGUAAGUCGGGUGUGAAAUCUCGGAGCUUAACUCCGAAACUGCAUUCGAUACUGCCGUGCUUGAGGACUGGAGAGGAGACUGGAAUUUACGGUGUAGCGGUGAAAUGCGUAGAUAUCGUAAGGAAGACCAGUGGCGAAGGCGGGUCUCUGGACAGUUCCUGACGCUGAGGCACGAAGGCCAGGGGGCAAAC
This 205-nucleotide ribosomal RNA is filed under the name uncultured bacterium. RNAcentral's name for it is "partial 16S ribosomal RNA". It matches the Rfam family "Bacterial small subunit ribosomal RNA", at positions 568 to 773 of the family's 1533-position model. The record is from RNAcentral.